This 477-nucleotide ribosomal RNA is filed under the name uncultured delta proteobacterium. RNAcentral's name for it is "bacterial SSU rRNA". The stretch from base 75 to 477 matches the Rfam family "Bacterial small subunit ribosomal RNA", at positions 1 to 385 of the family's 1533-position model. Lineage: Bacteria; Deltaproteobacteria. The record is from RNAcentral.
AAUACUCAAGCUAUGCAUCCAACGCGUUGGGAGCUCUCCCAUAUGGUCGACCUGCAGGCGGCCGCGAAUUCACUAGUGAUUAGAGUUUGAUCAUGGCUCAGAGCGAACGUUAGCGGCGGGCUUAACACAUGCAAGUCGAACGAGAAAGCGUCCUUCGGGGCGUAAGUAAAGUGGCGCACGGGUGCGUAACACGUGGGUAACCUGCCUUCUGGAGCGGGACAACAGCUCGAAAGGGCUGCUAAUACCGCAUACGUCGGUGACGGCUUCGGUUGUUACCGGGAAAGGGUGGCCUCUAUUUAUAAGCUAUCGCCAGAAGAGGGGCUCGCGUCCCAUCAGCUAGUUGGUGAGGUAACGGCUCACCAAGGCUCAGACGGGUAGCUGGUCUGAGAGGAUGAUCAGCCACACUGGGACUGAGACACGGCCCAGACUCCUACGGGAGGCAGCAGUGGGGAAUAUUGGACAAUGGGCGAAAGCCUG